UUGAUCUCUUUUCCAGAUUUAAUCAGGAUCAUUCAUUGUUAUGACUUUUUCUUAGUUUCCAUGUGAUUGCAUUGACCGUGGACUACAAUAGGCACGCGCCUCUGGAUGCUUGGAUCUGCCAGCUCAAUUAAUGAGCUCAGAUCCAAGGGCUCUCGUUUUUUGCCAUUUUUAAUUUCUGGUUUUAUUUUUCUUUAAUUCCAUUAUUUUCAAAAAUCAAUAUCUCUCUCAUUUUUAAUCCAAAAAUUAUGGGACCAAUUGCAUU
Molecule: long non-coding RNA, 262 nt
Filed under: Lathyrus oleraceus (garden pea)
Lineage: Eukaryota; Viridiplantae; Streptophyta; Magnoliopsida; Fabales; Fabaceae
Description: Pisum sativum (pea) long non-coding RNA (PSAT_LNC035183)
Source: RNAcentral